RNAcentral lists this ribosomal RNA (451 nucleotides) under uncultured bacterium. Its description in RNAcentral is "partial 16S ribosomal RNA". It matches the Rfam family "Bacterial small subunit ribosomal RNA", at positions 28 to 507 of the family's 1533-position model. The record is from RNAcentral.
AGCGAACGCUGGCGGCAUGCCUAACACAUGCAAGUCGCACGGGGGGGCUUCGGCCUCCCAGUGGCGGACGGGUGAGGAACGCGUAGGGACCUGUCGAGGGGUGGGGGAUAACCGCGGGAAACUGCGGCUAAUACCGCAUGACGCCGCGGCGUGACAGCCGGGGCCAAAGGCGAAAGCCGCCCGCCGGGGGGCCUGCGUCCGAUUAGCUGGGUGGCGGGGUAGCGGCCCACCAAGGCGUCGAUCGGUAGCUGGUCUGAGAGGGUGAUCAGCCACACCGGGACUGAGACACGGCCCGGACUCCUACGGGAGGCAGCAGUGGGGAAUAUUGGACAAUGGGCGCAAGCCUGAUCCAGCAAUGCCGCGUGGGUGAAGAAGGUCUUCGGAUUGUAAAGCCCUUUCGGCGGGGACGAUGGUGACGGUACCCGCAGAAGAAGCCCCGGCUAACUUCGUG